This 1002-nucleotide ribosomal RNA is filed under the name Mortierella sp. Its description in RNAcentral is "partial large subunit ribosomal RNA". It matches the Rfam family "Eukaryotic large subunit ribosomal RNA", at positions 94 to 957 of the family's 3401-position model. Lineage: Eukaryota; Fungi; Mortierellomycota; Mortierellomycetes; Mortierellales; Mortierellaceae. The record is from RNAcentral.
UGAAGCGGGAUGAGCUCAAAUUUAAAAUCUGGCUGGUUUACUAGUCCGAAUUGUAGUUUAAAGAAGCGUUUUCGGUGGCAGCCUGGGUAUAAAUCCUUUGGAACAGGGUAUCAUAGAGGGUGAGAAUCCCGUCUUUGACUCAGUGCAUGCUACUAUGUGAUACGUUUUCAAAGAGUCGAGUUGUUUGGGAAUGCAGCUCAAAAUGGGUGGUAAAUUUCAUCUAAGGCUAAAUAUUGGCGAGAGACCGAUAGCGAACAAGUACCGUGAGGGAAAGAUGAAAAGAACUUUGAAAAGAGAGUUAAACAGUGCGUGAAAUUGUUGAAAGGGAAACGCUUGACACCAGUCAUGCGAGCGGAAAAUCAGUCUUUUGCAGUGGGGAGUUGUGUGGGUUCGGACCGCAAGGCCGGCCUGCGCUGCAUCUCUGCUGUAAGUGAUGCACUUUUUCGUUUGCAGGCCAACAUCAGUUUCUUCUGCUGGACAAAACUCUUGAGAAGGUAGCAGCUUUGGCUGUGUUAUAGCUCUUGAGCGAUACAGUGGAGGGGACUGAGGUUUUCGCAGCGCGUGCUUUCGGGCAAGGCUGAUUGGGUGCUAUGGGAUCGUUCGGUGUACAAUGCAUGCAUUUUGCGCCGUGUCUUUUCUGUACUCGCUCAACUCGGCUCUUCCGCGCUUAGGAUGUUGGCUUAAUGGUUUUAAUCGACCCGUCUUGAAACACGGACCAAGGAGUCUAACAUAUAUGCAAGUGUUUGGGUGGCAAACCCAUGCGCGUAAUGAAAGUGAACGUAGGUGCGAUCCGCAAGGUGCAGCAUCGACCGAUCUUGAUAUUUUUGGAUAGAUUUGAGUAAGAGCAUAUAUGCUGGGACCCGAAAGAUGGUGAACUAUGCCUGAAUAGGGUGAAGCCAGAGGAAACUCUGGUGGAGGCUCGUAGCGAUUCUGACGUGCAAAUCGAUCGUCAAAUUUGGGUAUAGGGGCGAAAGACUAAUCGAACCAUCUGAUUCCCUGCAG